ACACAGCAAUGUGUGGCAUACGGCUCAUUAACACGUAGCUAACAUGCCCAGGGGACGUGGAUAACCUCGGGAAACUGAGGAUAAACCGCGAUAGGUCACUACUUCUGGAAUGGGUAAUGACCCAAACCUAUAUGGCCCCUGGAUUGGACUGCGGCCGAUCAGGCUGUUGGUGAGGUAAUGGCCCACCAAACCUGUAACCGGUACGGGCUCUGAGAGGAGGAGCCCGGAGAUGGGCACUGAGACAAGGGCCCAGGCCCUAUGGGGCACAGCAGGCGCGAAACCUCUGCAAUAGGCGAAAGCUUGACAGGGUUACUCUGAGUGAUUUCCGUUAAGGAGAUCUUUUGGCACCUCUAAAAAUGGUGCAGAAUAAGGGGUGGGCAAGUCUGGUGUCAGCCGCCGCGGUAAUACCA
This 410-nucleotide ribosomal RNA is filed under the name uncultured archaeon. RNAcentral describes it as "bacterial SSU rRNA". It matches the Rfam family "Archaeal small subunit ribosomal RNA", at positions 62 to 478 of the family's 1478-position model. The record is from RNAcentral.